RNAcentral lists this long non-coding RNA (2090 nucleotides) under Apteryx haastii (Great spotted kiwi). Its description in RNAcentral is "lncRNA (ENSAHAG00000004124.1)". The record is from RNAcentral. Lineage: Eukaryota; Metazoa; Chordata; Aves; Apterygiformes; Apterygidae.
GGGGGGGAGGGGCGAAAGGAUUUGGGCUCCCGCAGCCGGAGACCUUCGGCAUCAGGGAACCGGGAUCUGGGCUGUGGCACCGCGCGGGAUGCUGGGUCAUCUUUCAAGGUGGGAAUUCGGGGAAAAAGGGCUGGAAAAACACCUCCACUACGGACCUUGCCCCGGAGCAGGUGGCGCUUUCACAGCCUGUGUGCACAGAGGGCAUGGGGACAUAUGGRGGAYRUAUGGGGACAUAUGGGGGCACAGAUGGCAUAGGGACACAUGGGGGACAUAUGGGGACAUAUGGAAGGCACAGAGGGCAUGGGGACACAUGGAGCACAUAUGGGGGGCACAGAGGGCAUGGGGACACAUGGGGGACAUAUGGGGACAUAUGGAGGACAUAUGGGGGACAUACGGGGGCACAGAUGGCAUAGGGACACAUGAGGGACAUAUGGGGGCACAGAAGGCAUGGGGACACCUUGAAGAAAUGGAGGACUUGGGGACACAGGGGGACACCGGGGACAUGGGGAAACAAGGGGGGACACGAGGGCACACAGGGUCCAGGGGGACACUGGGGCUCACAGGGGACAUGGGGGGACAUGGAGGGACAUGGAAGACACUUGGGGGCAGUCGGAGACACACAGGGCACAUGGGGAAACACAGGGACACCCAGGGGACACAGGGACACCUGUGGGGACACAGGGACACCCAGGGGACACAGGAGCACCCAGGGGACACAGGGACACCCGUGGGGACACAGGGGCCCUGUGGGGACCCAGCUCAGGUGGCCGGGGUGGGGGAGGGGAUCCUGGCUGUGGGCGGGGCCUGACCCCUUUGCACACCUGUGGUGGGUGGGGCUACACCCAUGUGUGGGACRAUUGGGGCGGGGUCACAUGGGCCAGGGGGCGUGGCCAGGAGCAGGUGCUCUUGCAUGUGGGCGGGGCCCCCUCUUGUGCAAUGGAUGUGGGCGGGGCCGGGGCGUUGUGCACUGCCUGGGGGCGGGGCCAGGCCCCAGGCAAAAGACUGUGGGCGGGGCCAGCUCCUUCCGCACCAGUCAUGGGCGGGGCCAGGCCAGCGCACGGCUAGUGGGCGGGGCCAAGCCCGCGCUCGGGGGGUUGUGGGCGGGGCCUGUGCCCUGGCGCGGCCCCAGCAGCCCGGCUGGGCCCCACUGGUCCCGUCCUGGCCCCCCGGCAGCGCUGCGCCAGAUGUUUGCACGUGCAGCACAGCUGGAUGGGGGCAAGGCACCAGGCUGGCAAAAGCCAUGUGCCGGCACGCUGCCGGAAAGCUCGGCUUUCCUUGAAGUCCGAGCGGGCCCUGCUCAGCUCAUGCCCGGGCUUAAAUCCAGUAGAUGCUGGAGGAACAUCUCAUGGGCUUCAGGUCUGUGCAGCAGGAGGUAGCUGGGACCUGUAGCUCUGCAAGAUCGGGGUCGUGCAGACAACAUCCAAUGUCCCCAAAAUGCUGGUAUGUGGGGGAGCAAGGGGCCUCUGCCCGCCAGGAACAAAAAGGCACCUGGCCGGUCACGGAAACCCCUGCCGCGAGGCUAAAAAGUUCAGGAAACACCCAAAUACACGCGAGAAAAAUUGUUCCGGAGCUACGAAACGCAACCCCUUGCUGUUACACCCGGCACCGGCUGCUCCCGGGGCAGAUGGACCUUGAGCUACCUCCGCUCCUCCGGCCUCGAAAAAGCAAAGGRGACGAGCACGGGACUGACAGCACCUUCGUACUGCAUGGAGCAAACACGCAAAUAAGCUUUGCCUAAAAUCCUUGUGUUACAGCAACCUCAGGGGCYGCUAGGAAUGAGAGGAGACUUGAGCCCAGCUGAGCCAGCUUUGAACUUUAACCUUUUUGGUGCACGGCCCCAAAUCCUGUUUCCCCUGACUUUGCUUGGCCUCCCUGAGGAGGGAGGCUUGUAGCUAGCAGGAGCCUUUAAAAAUCAAACCCAAAGACAUUUGCAACCCAGGAUUGAAACAGGGGAUGAGGCAUGGCUCGUGCAUAUGCACCGAGCUCGCACGGGACUCGGGAGCGGGUUCGCAGGCCUCCCGCCGCRGACGGUCACGCUACAAAGGUUGCCGGCUAAUAAAAGCCAAGCGCAAUGGCUGGGAGAGCCCCCU